UGGCGGACGGGUGAGUAAUGUCUGGGAAACUGCCUGAUGGAGGGGGAUAACUACUGGAAACGGUAGCUAAUACCGCAUAACGUCGCAAGACCAAAGAGGGGGACCUUCGGGCCUCUUGCCAUCGGAUGUGCCCAGAUGGGAUUAGCUAGUGGUGGGGUAACGGCUCACCUAGGCGACGAUCCCUAGCUGGUCUGAGAGGAUGACCAGCCACACUGGAACUGAGACACGGUCCAG
Molecule: ribosomal RNA, 234 nt
Filed under: uncultured bacterium
Lineage: Bacteria
Description: partial 16S ribosomal RNA
Rfam family: Bacterial small subunit ribosomal RNA
Source: RNAcentral